GUGCUGCUUCUGAUCUGAAACCUCCUGGAAUAGAUCCUCCUGAAUGUACCAGGUCAGAAAGAAAAGGACAGAGGAUCUGAUAGCAGGUUGGCAGAGCAGGG
Vicugna pacos (alpaca) is the source of this 101-nucleotide non-coding RNA. NCBI's taxonomy places the organism in Eukaryota, Metazoa, Chordata, Mammalia, Artiodactyla, Camelidae. The record is from RefSeq and is a predicted model, not a curated record.